CAUUUUAACAUUUUAACAUUUUAACAUUUUAACAUUUUAACAUUUUAACAUUUUAACAUUUUAACAUUUUAACAUUUUAACAUUUUAACAUUUUAACAUUUUAACAUUUUAACAUUUUAACAUUUUAACAUUUUAACAUUUUAACAUUUUAACAUUUUAACAUUCUAACAUUUGGCAUUUUUACCAUUUUUACUCAUUAAAAAUGCAAACGAACGCAUCAUCACACUGAACCUGUGCAGCCGACGCUCAUGAAAAGAACGCACCAUGACACUGAACCAACGCAGCCGACCUUCAUGAAACAAACGAACCACGAUUGAGAGAGCUGUCAAAUUGUUUUACUCGCGCGUGUAUAAUCAUGUUCGUGUUGGCUGCUGCUCGGAACCGGAUUGUGUCGAAUAAAAUCGCGUGUGCCUGGGCAUUUGCCGCAUCCGCUGUUCCCUGUUUGCUGUUCUGGUUGUUGGAUGGAUAAAUCCGACUGAUCAACGGAUGGUGCUCUUCGCUGAUUUUUUUUUUAUUUUCUUCUACAGGGACUACUUUCGCCGUGUUUGUACUACUGAUACUCCCUGCCGCCGUCAAGGGUACGUUCCAGAUGGUGUUCUUUCCAGUUCCGCUAGAUGACCUACCCGGAAUGGCGACCUGGAGUUUUGUUGUGGAAGAACCAACAAAACAAAUCAAUUCGGAGUCUCCAGUCGACAAAAAGGAACCGGUGGUCAGUUUAAACGCACCAUGACAUCACCAAUUCGAGGAGAAACAAGAAUCGGUCGCGAUCGAGAUCUUGAAAUGGAAUCGAAAGCGAAAGAAAGCGGCUUCGUUUUGGUGUUUGCAAAACUCUGGAGAGGGCAUUAUCAAUUAACAAUUGAAUAAAAAACCAAAGUGAUUCAAUGUUGAAUGUAAAUAAAUUACAAUGAAAAAUAUAAAGUACUGUAAAACAUACUGUAUUUACUAUUUAUUUUAAUGUCCGAAUAUUGUUGUCACAGUACAAUUUAGUAGGGAACAAACCAUGAAAAACAAUAAUUUUACUGUGUAAUUCAUUGUAAUGCUUAUUAGUUUUAUUGUUCGCAUAUAGUUUUUACCGCAUCAUUUAUUAGAUAAAAAACCAUGAAGAACUGUAAAUUGACUGUGCAAUGCAUUGUAAUGCUUGCUGUUUUUAUUAUUAAAGUAUGAUAUUUUCUAUAGUCAGGACGAGUUUUUGGAUGAAAAAUGCAACAUUAGAUUAACAGUAAAAUGCGUCGUAUUUGGAAAAAAAAUGUAUGGAAAAAUUUCGAAAUUUUUAUGGUACCGGUGCAUAACAACCCCCCUUUUUUAUGGUAAAAUCCCAAAAUACGACGCAAAUUAUCUUAAAAAACGAUGCUGUCUACUGUUAAAACACUGUCAAAAUGACAAUAUAUUUUAUCGUUUUGUAACGUUAAAAUUUACUGUAAGUUCAUCAGAAAUCUUUAUGCGGGAAGUGUU
This is a long non-coding RNA of Culex pipiens pallens (northern house mosquito), 1452 nucleotides long. RefSeq lists it as uncharacterized. The record is from RefSeq and is a predicted model, not a curated record. NCBI's taxonomy places the organism in Eukaryota, Metazoa, Arthropoda, Insecta, Diptera, Culicidae. The transcript has 3 exons.